Molecule: ribosomal RNA, 467 nt
Filed under: uncultured bacterium
Lineage: Bacteria
Description: partial 16S ribosomal RNA
Rfam family: Bacterial small subunit ribosomal RNA
Source: RNAcentral
GACGAACGCUGCGGCGUGCUUAACACAUGCAAGUUGAACGGAAAGGCCCUGCCUUUGGGGGGUGCCCGGGUGGCGAACGGGUGAGUAACACGUGAGUUACCUGCCCUUGACCUUGGGGUUAACUUAGGGAAAUGGGGCCAAUAACCGAAAGGAGCUCCUGCUGCAUGGUGGGGGUUGGAAAGUUUCGGCGGUUGGGGAUGGACUCGCGGCUUAUCAGCUUGUUGGUGGGGUAGUGGCUUACCAAGGCUUUGACGGGUAGCCGGCCUGAGAGGGUGACCGGCCACAUUGGGACUGAGAUACGGCCCAGACUCCUACGGGAGGCAGCAGUGGGGAAUAUUGCACAAUGGGCGGAAGCCUGAUGCAGCAACGCCGCGUGCGGGAUGACGGCCUUCGGGUUGUAAACCGCUUUCGCCUGUGACGAAGCGUGAGUGACGGUAAUGGGUAAAGAAGCACCGGCUAACUACGUG